UACGUAGGGUGCAAGCGUUGUCCGGAAUUAUUGGGCGUAAAGAGCUCGCAGGCGGUUUGUCGCGUCUGCUGUGAAAACUCGGGGCUUAACUCCGGGCCUGCAGUGGGUACGGGCAGACUAGAGUGCGGUAGGGGAGACUGGAAUUCCUGGUGUAGCGGUGAAAUGCGCAGAUAUCAGGAGGAACACCGGUGGCGAAGGCGGGUCUCUGGGCCGUAACUGACGCUGAGGAGCGAAAGCGUGGGGAGCGAACAGG
This 253-nucleotide ribosomal RNA is filed under the name uncultured bacterium. RNAcentral describes it as "partial 16S ribosomal RNA". It matches the Rfam family "Bacterial small subunit ribosomal RNA", at positions 524 to 776 of the family's 1533-position model. The record is from RNAcentral.